Molecule: ribosomal RNA, 408 nt
Filed under: uncultured Bicosoecida
Lineage: Eukaryota; Bigyra; Bicosoecida
Description: partial small subunit ribosomal RNA
Rfam family: Eukaryotic small subunit ribosomal RNA
Source: RNAcentral
GCUUGUCUCAAAGAUUAAGCCAUGCAUGUCUAAGUAUAAAUAAUUCUAUACUGUGAAACUGCGAAUGGCUCAUUAUAUCAGUUAUAGUUUAUUUGAUAGUCCCUUACUACUUGGAUAACCGUAGUAACUCUAGAGCUAAUACAUGCGCAAAUUCCCGACUGUCGCAAGGCGGAAAGGAUGUAUUUAUUAGAUCCAACCAGCCCGGUUCGCCGGAGUCCCUGGUGAGUCAUAAUAACUGAGCGAAUCGCAUGGCCUUGUGCCGGCGAUGGUUCAUUCAAGUUUCUGCCCUAUCAGCUUUCGAUGGUAGGGUAUUGGCCUACCAUGGCGUUAACGGGUAACGGAGAAUUAGGGUUCGAUUCCGGAGAGGGAGCCUGAGAAACGGCUACCACAUCCAAGGAAGGCAGCAGG